Molecule: ribosomal RNA, 27 nt
Filed under: Alternaria ethzedia
Lineage: Eukaryota; Fungi; Ascomycota; Dothideomycetes; Pleosporales; Pleosporaceae
Also listed under: 3 other names
Description: partial 28S ribosomal RNA
Source: RNAcentral
CUUUGACCUCGGAUCAGGUAGGGAUAC